UGGGGAAUAUUGGACAAUGGGCGAAAGCCUGAUCCAGCAAUGCCGCGUGAGUGGUGAAGGCCUUAGGGUUGUAAAGCUCUUUUACCAGGGAUGAUAAUGACAGUACCUGGAGAAUAAGCUCCGGCUAACUCCGUGCCAGCAGCCGCGGUAAUACGGAGGGAGCUAGCGUUGUUCGGAAUUACUGGGCGUAAAGCGUACGUAGGCGGUGACUCAAGUCAGAGGUGAAAGCCUGGAGCUCAACUCCAGAACUGCCUUUGAAACUAGGUCGCUAGAAUCACGGAGAGGUGAGUGGAAUUCCGAGUGUAGAGGUGAAAUUCGUAGAUAUUCGGAAGAACACCAGUGGCGAAGGCGGCUCACUGGACGUGUAUUGACGCUGAGGUACGAAAGCGUGGGGAGCAAACAUGAUUAGAUACCCUCGUAGUCCCUGAGCGGGCUGGCAAGGCGCAU
This 447-nucleotide ribosomal RNA is filed under the name uncultured bacterium. RNAcentral describes it as "bacterial SSU rRNA". It matches the Rfam family "Bacterial small subunit ribosomal RNA", at positions 355 to 825 of the family's 1533-position model. The record is from RNAcentral.